CCUACGGGUGGCAGCAGUGAGGGAUAUUGCGCAAUGGGCGAAAGCCUGACGCAGCGACGCCGCGUGGGCGAGGAAGGCCUUCGGGUUGUAAAGCCCUUUUGGCAGGGAAGAGCAAGGACUGUACCUGCAGAACAAGUCACGGCUAACUACGUGCCAGCAGCCGCGGUAAAACGUAGGUGGCGAGCGUUAUCCGGAAUCACUGGGCGUAAAGGGCGUCUAGGCGGUCGGGUAAGAGAGACGUGAAAGCUCCUGCCUCAACUGGGAGAGGUCGUUUCAGACUGCCCGGCUUGAGGGUCGGAGAGGGACGUGGAAUUCCCGGUGUAGCGGUGGAAUGCGUAGAGAUCGGGAGGAACACCAGUGGCGAAGGGGGCUCUCUGGCUCACUCCUGACGCUGAGUGCGCGAAAGCGGGGGGAGCAAACGGGAUUAGAUCCCCUGGUAGU
This 441-nucleotide ribosomal RNA is filed under the name uncultured Anaerolineae bacterium. RNAcentral's name for it is "partial 16S ribosomal RNA". It matches the Rfam family "Bacterial small subunit ribosomal RNA", at positions 338 to 794 of the family's 1533-position model. The record is from RNAcentral. Lineage: Bacteria; Bacillati; Chloroflexota; Anaerolineae.